CCCAUAAUUCUUUUCUCCUUCCUCUCUCUUCACUCUCUCUUUCUCCAUAACCGCCGCCGGAAAUCGCCCACCGGCGGCCGACCACCUCCAAAUCACCCCAAAAUCGCACCAUACAAUCUCCACAACCUCCUUUUUACAUAUCUCUAAAUGAAAUCCUUAACAAAACCCUCAAACUCCUUGAAUUUUAGAUCUAGGAAACUUUAGCCGCAACUUUUUGCCUAAAUUUUUGAAGUUCCGGCCACUAACACUCCACAACACCUACAUCAACGGAUAGAGCUCCUCAAGACCUACCUAUUGAAGUCAAUUCUACACCAAAAAUCCAGCGACCAAAAAUCUGGCCGAAUUCCCGCGACCUCCCUGAACGCCCUCGUUUGGCAUGCCACCAUUUUUCGGCCACUUGAAUUUUAAAAUGGUAAAAAUACUAUUCUUUUUUCAUGGUUGAUUUGUUUUAUUAUUUUUUUCAGAUUUUUAUUUUUGCCUCUUAUUAAUUAUUUUAGCAUUAGUUUUUGAAGUUUUGAAGUGCUAAAUUUUCUAUUUUUGCAUUUGUUGAAGUAGUAGAAUAGUUUUAGAGUACUUGAGUGUAGGGUCCGUGUUUGGUUGCUUUCAUUGUUUGAAGUAUAAUACUCUAAAAAUCUGUCCCUAGUUGGUAAAAGAAGACUGUUUCUUGGACAGAUUUUUGGUUUUGGAUAGAUUUUCUGUCAAAAAAAUUAUCAUUUUGGACAAAUUUUUGGAAAAACAAAAUUUGUCCCAAAGUCCUUUCUCCUUCUAUAUAAAGAGGAGUUCUUUCCUCAUCUUACACAUAUCUUGGACUCUAGAAAGACACAUCUUUUAAACACUCUAUCACACAUCUGCUAUGCAUUUUUACACACUAAAAAUACACUUUUAGCAGUAAAAAUCAGCAGCUGAACUUAAAGAAAGCAAGCUGAAAUUGUGAGCUUUAUGAGUGCUUCUUAGAGUAAAAACUCUAAAAAAGAAUAAGUCUUUUAGAGUUGAUUCCAGGUUUCUUCUCUAAGGUUUUGGGGCUAUCUAGAUACAAGUUUGCUAAUGUCGUUGCUCGUUUUCAUUGCUGUUUUUCUACUAUUUUGCUGUUGUUUCUGCUCAUCUCAUUGCUGUAUUUUUAUUCUGCAAAUCAAGUAAUUCCUAUGUCUUUAUAUUGCAGAUUUUUGAUAAUAAUAAGAAGAUUCGAACUUGUCCGGAUGGCUGAAGCAUGUUGUACUUGGUGUUUACUUAAGAAUAAAUAUUGUACCUAUGUAUAAAAACAUGUAAAUAUGCAGUAGUUAUGGCUUUUAGAAGAUAACUCUCUACUUAUUGUUGUCUAGUUGUUGAAAGUCAAUUUCUCACCUUAAUGCACUUAAAAGUCUUUAAUUUACUUUAGGUGAGCAUGUUGUAGAUAUGAUCUAAUUUCUUUUGUUUACUGUGUUCACACCUUUAUUAGCUUGCUUUGGCAUUUCUUUGCUUAGUUAAUUUGUAAACCUUUCCUUGAAGUUAUUCUUCGAAUAUAAAAAU
RNAcentral lists this long non-coding RNA (1506 nucleotides) under Nicotiana tabacum (common tobacco). RNAcentral's name for it is "long non-coding RNA (NTAB_LNC019467)". The record is from RNAcentral. Lineage: Eukaryota; Viridiplantae; Streptophyta; Magnoliopsida; Solanales; Solanaceae.